Molecule: unclassified non-coding RNA, 248 nt
Filed under: Hevea brasiliensis (rubber tree)
Lineage: Eukaryota; Viridiplantae; Streptophyta; Magnoliopsida; Malpighiales; Euphorbiaceae
Source: RNAcentral
GAAUUCACUCUUUAUUACAAGAAAGAAGGCCUUCCAUUCCUUAUAAACACAUCAACAAUUCAGUGGGAUAUUUUUUCCAUUAUGAAAAAAGGGAGGGCCGACACUUUUAUUUUCUUAUUGUUGUAAUUUACAUGGUGAUUCUUUAUGUUGGUCUCAUUUAUUGAGAUUCAUAGGAAAUUAGGUAACAUAACAAUACUUCGAGUGAAUAGUUAUUAUAAAAGGUUAUUCUUCCUAGAAGUGCUGAACUU